RNAcentral lists this ribosomal RNA (458 nucleotides) under uncultured bacterium. RNAcentral describes it as "partial 16S ribosomal RNA". It matches the Rfam family "Bacterial small subunit ribosomal RNA", at positions 29 to 507 of the family's 1533-position model. The record is from RNAcentral.
AGCGAACGCUGGCGGCAGGCCUAACACAUGCAAGUCGAACGAACUCUUCGGAGUUAGUGGCGGACGGGUGAGUAACACGUGGGAACGUGCCUUUAGGUUCGGAAUAACUCAGGGAAACUUGUGCUAAUACCGAAUGUGCCCUUCGGGGGAAAGAUUUAUCGCCUUUAGAGCGGCCCGCGUCUGAUUAGCUAGUUGGUGAGGUAACGGCUCACAAAGGCAACGAUCAGUAGCUGGUCUGAGAGGAUGAUCAGCCACAUUGGGACUGAGACACGGCCAAGACGACGAAGGGAGGCAGCAGGAGGGAAGCUGCCGCAAGGGGCGAAAGAAGGACGGAGCAACGACGAGGGAGUGAUGAAGGUAGUCGGAGCGGAAAACUCGGUUAUUAGGGAAGAACAAAUGUGUAAGUAACUAUGCACGUCUGGACGGGACAGAAUCAGAAAGACACGGCCAACUAAGGG